GAUGAACGCUGGCGGCGUGCCUAAUACAUGCAAGUCGAGCGAACAGACGAGGAGCUUGCUCCUCUGACGUUAGCGGCGGACGGGUGAGUAACACGUGGAUAACCUACCUAUAAGACUGGGAUAACUUCGGGAAACCGGAGCUAAUACCGGAUAAUAUAUUGAACCGCAUGGUUCAAUAGUGAAAGACGGUUUUGCUGUCACUUAUAGAUGGAUCCGCGCCGCAUUAGCUAGUUGGUAAGUUAACGGCUUACCAAGGCAACGAUGCGUAGCCGACCUGAGGGGGUGAUCGGCGACACUGGAACUGAACCACGGUCAAGACUCCUGCGGGAGGCAGCAGUAGGGAAUCUUCCGCAAUGGGCGCGAGCCUGGCAGAACAGCGCCGCGUGAGUGAUGAAGAUCUUCGGAUCGUAAAACUGUGUUAUUAGGGAAGAACCACUGUCUAAGUAACUGUGCACGUCUUGACGGUACCUAAUCAGAAAGCAACGGCUAACUACGUG
This 497-nucleotide ribosomal RNA is filed under the name uncultured bacterium. RNAcentral describes it as "partial 16S ribosomal RNA". It matches the Rfam family "Bacterial small subunit ribosomal RNA", at positions 28 to 507 of the family's 1533-position model. The record is from RNAcentral.